This 21-nucleotide ribosomal RNA is filed under the name Laccaria bicolor. Its description in RNAcentral is "partial 28S ribosomal RNA". Lineage: Eukaryota; Fungi; Basidiomycota; Agaricomycetes; Agaricales; Hydnangiaceae. The record is from RNAcentral. RNAcentral also lists the same sequence under 4 other names.
UGACCUCAAAUCAGGUAGGAC